This 26724-nucleotide long non-coding RNA is filed under the name Triticum aestivum (bread wheat). RNAcentral's name for it is "long non-coding RNA (TAES_LNC006235)". The stretch from base 8096 to 8230 matches the Rfam family "MIR1120/MIR1122 microRNA precursor family". Lineage: Eukaryota; Viridiplantae; Streptophyta; Magnoliopsida; Poales; Poaceae. The record is from RNAcentral.
ACACCGCAAAAAGAUAAAAUAACUGACACAACAAAUGCAGGGCCAAAAGGCACAAUUCGGAGUACCUCAAGGAUAAUAGGUGCAUAAAAUUCAGUCACAAACACAUAUAAUCCUCACAUUACAUAAAACUCAGUCCUGGAACAUAGCCAGACUAGUAUUAAACAGCUAAAUUUGACCAAACACAGGUAAGGCAACUUCCACAGCCACAACCGCAUAACAAAUCAGGAAUCACUGGGACAAUGCCAUCAUCCCUCAGAGUUUCGCUGCCUGGAUGUCAGAUGAUGCUUCCCCUCCCUCCAAGGCGCCUACUUGGAUCGCUGCCUCAUCUUUCGGCGCUUCCUCUUGAGCCUCCUCAUCCUCUUCUUCUUCCACUGCACAUUAAGACGAAAUGCAGAUCAUCAGUACAAAUUGCAUAGUGCUAGAUGCGCAGGAACAUGAGAUAAUUCCACAUGAAACGAGAAAGUAGUAUGUACUUCAGAAUCAGAAGAUUGAGUGUUUCAUUGGAUAUCAUCACGUGAUUUUCAGAAACACGGACCAAUUGUCCUUCAUCAUUUCCCAAACUGCCAAUUUGGCAUUGCAAAAAGAGAACUAUUCUAAGAAGGUCGUAGCUAUCUACAAACAGGUUAGGCAAAGCAAAGUAGAUCUGCAGUCAGUUUGACAUUCAGAAUGAGUAGGAGGAUUUUAUCAUCAAAUAGAUCAGACGCCAAUUGUCUUCCUCAUCAUGCCAACCGACGCAAUUAUACAAAAUAAAAACAGUGGAAAAUGAGCUAAAGAAAUGGAUAAGCAAACGUUGUUCUCUCAGACAAAUGCCUCGAUUGUCCACACGGUGUAAUAGAAUGGAUUACAUCAGACUCGUCAUCUGUUUUCAUCAUCACAGAGAACAAUGGACAAACGAAAACAGCAAAAAAAAAACAUAAAUCUGGCUAACAUAACUAGAGGCAGUAAUUAGAUCUCAUAGAGCAAGCAAAUCUGGUCGAAAUAGCAGCGGUUCUCUCAGACAAAUUUGCCUCACUUUUGUCCCCACGGUUGAAUGGAAUGGAUUGGAUCGGACAUCUAAUCAGUGUUGAUCAUCACAGAGAACCACUAAUUACGCAAGCGAGCGGUAGCAACGGCGAGAACAAACCCUCGCUAAACACUAGCACAUGUCCAGAUCUACCUCGGUCGCGGAGCAGCUAACAACAGGGAAGGGAGAUGACGGGCAGUACGAACCUUGGCCCUCAUCGCGGCGGCGGAGUCGGUCUCGCUCUCCUGUUCGCGGCGGCGGCGGCGGCGGCGGUGUGUGGACGAACUUAGAUUGUUGACGGCGGGGGCUCUCGCCUCGUACUUAUACGGGCUGGGUGCUGAAGGGGGGGGGAAACCCUAGCGGGGUUGGACGGGUGGACGGCUCGGAUCAGCCAGUGAACGGCGUUCUGAUCCGAUUAGUAAUCUGGUUUGUGGGCCUGUUGGGCCUCCAAACAACGCCUAGGCCCACGCUAACAUUUGACUGGACUUGAUUUCCUGAAGGGGGGAAAAAGAAACUUGACCAGUCUUUACUUUUAUUCUCUUUAUUUUAUAUUACUUUAAAAAGAGUAGUGUUCCUUUUUCUGCCAGACGGAGUGAUUCGUCCAACAUUUUUUUAUAAUCACUAGCAAAAGGCCCGUGUGUUACAACGGGCCAUUGAUAUUUUAGUAUUUCAACACUGAUUGUGCACAUCAAACUGAAAUAUCUCCUUCUAUUGUUAAUUGCUAGUGAAAUAAUCGAGAGGAGAUAAUAUGCCUGAAUAGUGAAGUUGUGAGCAUAGCUUAUUUCUCCUUCUCCUUGACUCAUAUGCAUCAUUUGCUUGGGGGGCAAGCUUGUAGCAGAGUUAAACCCAAAAAAAAGUUGAAUACAAAUCAAGGGAUAUAGCAGCAUUCAACUAAAUUAGUAGUGGAGUAGAGAAGCCCUGGAGCAUAUAAAGUAAAUGAUACCUCUGACAAAGCAGGUUUAAGAAGUGGAUAGUAAGUUUGAAAACAUGAACAAUGCAUAGCAAGCUUUCGUACAUACAAAUUCCCUUGUAUUGAUGAAAACAUAAAUUCACCUAUAAAAAACUAACAAAUUUAGUUUGUAUAUAUACUCUUAGUACACAGUCGAGUCAACACAAACAAUUUGCCUAUGAAAGGAUCAAGUUGGAAUUCCAUUGCUCGAUGGGUGGACGGCUCGGAUCAGCCAGUGGACGGUGUUCUGAUCCGAUUAGUAAUCUGGUUUGUGGGCAUGUUGGGCCUCCAAACAACGCCUAGGCCCAUGCUAACAUUUGACUGGACUUGAUUUCCUGAAGGGGGAAAAAGAAACUUGACCAGUCUUUACUUUUAUUCUCUUUAUUUUAUUACUUAAAAAAGGGAAACGUUUCCUGCGGCGUGCCGGCGGAACGCUUGGCCAGUCGCGUACGCUUCGUUCGAUCGAAAGCGAUCAUGCGGCCCACGUGUGGCCUCACCCCCUCGGCCCCACAUGCUCCCUCUUCCUUAUCCCCAUAUGUUUUCUUUUCCUUAUCCCCUCAAGCACCACUCAUUUUUCUUGCUUAUCCCUCCAUGCCCACCAUUCAUCCCAUGCACCUCUCUCUCCCCCUGGCCUACCUUCAAUCAAUAGCUUGCCGGCGAUGGAAGACGUGUGUGGCGAGCUGGCAGUCCGGGGCUGCACACAUGAAGCCGCGGAGGUGCGUGAGCACGACUCUCGGCGAGCGAAGAGGCGCGACGCCAAAGCUACAUCGGCAACUUGGUAUUUCCACUUUGCAACCUGAUACGACGAGUGGAGGGUGGUUUGCUGCAACCAGUGGCCCCUACUACUACGACCAACGAGGUGGCUGUGCCGUGAAGAUGGACGACGGAUGCGGCGAUUUUUGUGCUGAAACCCACGAUAGCCUCUGCUACAACCGGCCAGCCAUUUUGCUGGAACCAGCAUCGGUAAUUGCUGCCAUCAGUCACGCGAUAUGCUGGAACCAAACGCGCACUCGUCGCCGGCGUUUUUUUUCUUUUGCUAGAGUUGGGUGUUUGAUUUUGCUGGAAGUAGCUAUCCUUUUUGCUACAAAUCGACCACACGAGUUCUCCCUGUUUUGUUGUUUCUGCUGUAUCCAAUGUCUUGUUUUGCUGGAAACAACCAUCUUUUUUGGUACAAAUCGACAACAGGAAUUCUACGUGUUUAGUUGUUUUUCUGCUGCAUCCGAUGUUUCGUUUUGCUGGAACCUAGUAUUUUUUUAUUCAACCGAUCAAUGAAGGAUUGUUGCUUUCAGAUCUUUUUGCUAGAUACUUCAGUGCAAACCGACGCCCACGGCGAGCCGAAACCAGAGCAUGGUGAUGAGCUGGAACCGGCGAGCUUGCUUUGCUGCAAUGAGCCGCAAGCUACUAUGAUCAGCAGGGCGAAGAGCUGGAACGGGCGUCCAUUUUUGCUGGGAUGGGCGCCCAAAUUUGCUGGAACAGGAGUCCCGGGUUGCUGCAUCGUUCGCCGCACAGGGGAGCUACGAUGUUGGCGAGCUGGAACCGGCGCCCAAUUUUGCUGGAGCCGGCAUCUCGACAUGCUGGAACCGUGUGAAGGCAGGCGGCGGCUGAAUGGCUGAUUCGACGCUGAUGGUGUUUUGCUGCGACCAGUGAUGGAAAAGCUUCAACCAUCGGGCGAGUUGUCGAUGGCGUGAGGGGUGACGCCGGGGUGCUGCGGCCGACAACACGGUCGGUGCUGCGCGUUCUACUACAACGAGGAGUCGACCACUAGUUGUUGCAUCCGGCCACGUUGACGCUGCCACCAGCUACAACGAGAAGAUGCCAUGGCGAGCUUCGCCGCCGACGGCCGGCAGCGAAGGUACUCGUGCGGGACGGUGAGCAGAAUUGCGCGCGGCUGCGGCCGCCCGCAAGGGAGAGCCGAUCUGGGCCUUCGUAGACUCUCGUGACAAACGAAACAGCAAGGAGGGACCGGCAGAUGGAGCGGUUAAGGUCACUUCAAUCGAGCGUUGCAUGAGGAACCGGCCGAAAUUUUGGGCCGGUCCGCCGGCGCCUAGUGCUGGCCCUUAAAAAAAAGUAGCGUUCCUUUUUCUGCCAGACGGAGUGAUUUGUCCAACAUGUUUUUCUUGGGAACCGCCUUAAUCAUCUCAUCUUUUUGGUUCAAAAAAAUCGUCUCAUCUUUUAUUGACUUAUCAAAUAAAUUAUAUUUUCUUUCAUAAGUCAAAAUAAGUGAUUACAAAAUAAAAUCAUGGGUAAGAUUUGUUAAGUAUUUUUUUACACAAUCACAUAACAUAAAGAUGUAAAUUAUGGGAUAAUGUAUUGUAAUAUAAUAUAUAAUAUUUAUGCCCCAUAGCGACACGGGCAAAUAUCUAGUUCUGCUAGCAAAAAGACUAAUUACAAAACAAUAAAACUGAGCUAGCUACACGCCACCACAGCGAUUCACCGCUUUUGGCCGUCCGAUCAUUUGUUAGACGCCCCAGAUCUUCCAAUUGUCCACUGGCGGUCGCUUGGUCAUUUUCACCGUGCCUCACCCAAUGUAAAAGGGCUGCUGCUCCGGAAAGCAACCUGUGGGUCAUGUAGUUAAUUGGGCCCAGAAGCAGCCCAAUUGGUUGUGUACGUCAGCCCAUGCUAGGUUUCCUUUCCACAUCGACAGAGAAAAGAAAAGAACAAUUCAUCCUUCUCCUCUUGUUCAUACCCACGGUGCAGGGUGUCUAAUUUCUCAUGUUCCUUUCGUGCUAGGAAGCUCGUGGGGAUUGACCAACUGUCAGUUUGUUGGAGUUUGAUCUGUCCCGAUGGGCGACAAACAUAUAGCUGACUGAAGGCACGAGUAUGGCCUAUGGACUAAAGGAUUUGUUCCUUUCCCUCGGUGGCAACAUCCUAUAUGGCAGUACCUUUUCGCCUCCUUUUACCAGCCGUAUAAUUCAGUGAGUCGUUAGUAACUGUUUUGAUUGGUUGUUAGUAUUCCGGCACUGCCUUAUAUAUGGAUAUUCAUUGUUGAUAUGUGUUACAUGGUGUGAUCCCGAUCGACUCCAAUAUGGACACCCAGGCACCACACCCAGGCUCAUGCAAAUGCUCAAAACAGCCCGGUAACGCCACCACUUGUUGAUCAAAACGUUGUCCUUCUGAGUACUGAUUAGGAUUACAUGCAACCUUCUUGCUGGAAAUACGCUUCUGAAAAAAGAUGCUAAGCUGGCCUGAUAAGAUUGGCAUUAGGCUUUUGCCGUAGGAUCCUGGAACUCUGAAUUCUAGGAACAGCACCUACCAGGUUACCUGAUGUAAUCCGUAUCCUUGCAUGAGGUUUGGAGUACGUGGUUUUUCAAUUUUUGUUGGACAGUUUUAGUCGAGUUAGGUGUGUUCAAGGAUUAGCUUUGGUUUUCCCAUUUUACUCGCUAAGAAAGGUAACUGAAAUUUUGUUUCUGCUCAAUUUCAUUAGGUUGCAAGAAAAUGACUGGUUGAAAUUGCUUUCCUAAACAAAGUAAUAGAUGUACAAUAUUGAUCAACAAAUGGGCAACAAGUCAACAACGACCCAGUAGAAAUUUUAUUGUGCUGAAUAGGGCCAAGUAUAUUAUCAAACCAUUGUUGGUAAGAGGAUAAUUUACUAUGAUUCAGUUGGCAAAGAGGCUCUGAUCUGCAGUUUAAAUGACGAAGAAAUACUGGAACAUGGGGAAGAGAAGCAUGUUUCACAAAAGAAGAAGAUCCGCUAAUAUGGUAAUAAUACAUCCUAGUUAAAUAGAUUGGUUUUUCUGUAUUACGUGCUCUUCUGUCGUGAACUGCAAUUGAUUACCACAACAUGCUAUGUUUUCAUCCGUUCAAGUCUGAAGAAUGGGUACUAUCUAUCAGUCUAUAUGUUUGAAUUUUUUUUCUAAUAUCUCUACUCCUAAUGAAGCAGUUGGUAGCCUGGUACUCCGGUUUUAUUUUCGUCCGGUUUUAUUUCGUCCCACCUCCCACCACUCCGUACUACUGGUUUUUUAUCUAUCUACAAAUCUCCCCUCCCACUGGUUUAAGCCGGUUAUCAAUUUUUGGUAAUGCAAUAAAAGUCAUACGGGAAUAAAUCAUAUCACGGUCGGCAGUUAAUCUCAAACCUGCCAAGAGAUUUGGUAACAGAAUAAAUUCAAAAGGAAGGGUGGGGGAAUGUUCCUAUACAUAAGGAUGGUAAUCUCCAUCGCAUACCAUUUACUCCAGAAUCAAUCGCAUUAAUAAUCUCCAUCGCAUAAAUAAUUACUCCAAAAUCAAUCACAAUCAUAAUCUACAUCGCAUAAUUAACUUCUUCCUAUGACCACCUCGCUCCACCAAUCCCACCUGCCGUUUUCUACCAUCACGAUCGAUUUUCUCGCGUCCUCUCCUACACGCACAAAAAUAUAGGCCCAGCCUCGACCGUGGGCUGGGACUCAUCCGUCGCGCACCGCCUGCUCUGCAACGACGCCCAACGCAACCUCUUCUUUGAUGCCCCCGCGCACCCCUCGCCGCCGCCACCAACGCCCUGCGCGUUCGCCUCUACGGCCUUGAUGAUUGCACCCGCUUUCGUGACGUCCUCGCGCUCAAGCGCCGCCGGCGCAUCCACGCCUGCGUCAGCCAUGCCGAGGAGGUUGAGGAGCCCCUCGAGCCGGCCCUUGCCCUCGCCUGCGUCAACGACCCCGCCCAUCUUGGCGGGGGCGAUUCCCCCAUCGCCCGACUCAUCUCCGACGAGUAUGGCAUCGGUGGGUACGCCGCGUCGUUCGUAUGCUUGGCAGGUUCCAGAACACCCCGCGACGUGUAUGAGGCUGCUAAGCUUGACCAUGGCGAGGGGCUCGUGCUCGAGCUCGACGAGACGCAAUUCGAUCUCGGAACCAACUACGAGCUGGAUGGUGAGACUGCAGAGCAGGCAGGGGGCGCGACGAAGAUGGAAGUGGCGGCAGUUCAAGCUUGUCGCUGCCGAAGACCCUAGAGAGGUGCGUGAAGAGACCUGGUUAGUUUUGUUGGGCCCCACUGGUAGAUGCUCCAUGUCUCCUCCUCUGGUUCCUUGUGCAUUAUUGGGUUGUCUUAAUUUUCAGUCAGGAACACGUAGCCGUGAAUUUUUUUGAUUAAUAUUGAUGUCAUCGUUACAUAUUGGUACCGGGUAGAUUUGAUGUAUUAUUGUUAAGCUCUCAAGACCAGGCCUGGUUUUACAGAUGUUUAGCGCACCGGUUCCUGUUCAUUUACAACACAGCCAUGCGAUCUAUUAAGUGAUGUUUCUCUGAAUUUAUGACAGGUAAACUGCGGUAAUAACAAAUCAGAUGUCAUCUCUCAUCUUGCCGAUUCAACCUUGGAAGAUAUGGUAGAGACGAGAGGCGGUUUGGUCCAUCUGGUGGAAGGGGGAGUGGAGAUAGUAGGAGUGGAAAGCAACUCAGUCCAUCCUGGCGGAAGGGAUAUAUAUAGGCUGACAUGUCAUCGGUGCUGGGCACCACAGGCAAGUGCUGUUUAGUUGAGUCCCAAUCACGAAUUAGAAAAAAAUUCUUUGGGUUCUUGGAUAGAUGCUUAUGGUUUGUUGCGUCAUUUUUCAGGUUCAAUAUGCUGGCUGGCGCCGAGCCUCACUACUGAGUUGAAGAACUACUUGCAACGGUUGCCAAAAGUUGUGUUAAAAAAAUAGGCCCACCUUCAUAAGGAUGAUGUAAAUUGCAGCCAUACUCAGGUUUAUUCUUUGUUCCCUGCAUAUUUUUAUUUAACCACGUUAUGUUUUAGCCACUAGAUGGAAAAUAGAAAAAGGAAACGGAGAGAAUCACUUAUUUUCGUGAUAUGAUAUUUAUUUAAUAGUGAUUGCUAUUUGUUUUGAAUAUUUAAGCAUAAGGAUACCACAAUUAAAUUAUGGUUACAACACGAAAGUUGUAGAGUAGUUAAUCUCUAUCUCUACUCCUAAAGGGGGAGUUGGUAGCCCGGUGCGCAGGUUUAUUUUCGCCUCACCGAUUUAUUCUCCCUCACCUCCCAGCAUCCCCUCCACGCUGGGUUUUCUCCGUCCGACUAAAAACCAAAUCAAUUUGCAUGAUCCUCCUUGUUUGUUUUUCGGCUAAUGUCCUCCUAUCCUAGAGCAUGUUCAUCUGACUAAUCUUCUUAGUUAAUGCCCUCCUUGCCUGGAUCAUGUUCAUCCGAUUGACAAAGGCUUGGCCAUCUUGUAAUAGUAGAUGGUGAAGUGGAUAUAUAUACUACUCCCUCCGUCCGAAAAUACUUGUCAUCAAAAUGAAUAUAAAGGGAUGUAUCUAGAACUAAAAUAUGUUUAGAUACAUCUCUUUUUAUCCAUUUUGAUAACAAGUAUUUCCGGACAGAGGGAGUGCUUCAGUUUGCAUGAGAACAACCGCUUAUAUGUGUGCCUCAAUAGUAAAGUAGGAUUGCUUGGAUUAUUUUCUGUAGUAUUUUUUCCAGUUUUAAAUGUUUAGUUUCUUAACUUAUUAUGAGGCUUGCAUCGAUCAAAGAAAUCAUGCUCCCUUGGCUUAAUCAAAUGUACUUAUGUUUGCUAAUUUAUUUUUAGUGUGUGUUUCCUCCUACUAUCUUAUUAUUCUAUAGCUAACUAUAUUUUGGAAUCUGGUGGGUGCAAAGAAAAUGGCAGUUUCUAGAUUUCUGUAGUAUUUCUGGGUAACAACAGGUUCCAAAGUGACGGGCAUUGCUAAAUCAGAUAACAUACUAUUCAAAAAGAGAACACAUUCAUCCCUUCAUUUUAGAGAUUCAAUAAAGCAAGCAAAACUUGGAAUCCAAGUCAGAAUACCAACUAUUGUACUACUGAAUGCACAUUUAUUUGCCGACAUGAAACUAUCUAUCACAUGUAGGUGUGUUUGCUCCUCGGAGCAUAGCAAAAUGAUAUGCUCUUACAUAAACAUUAUCUUGCUUACAGUGUUAAUUCAAAGCCUUAAUUCAAGGUCGGAUCUUGCUUACAAUGUCAAUAUAAUCGCUUUUAAUCUCUUUCAAGAUUAAUAAACUGCACAUGCAUGGCACGCAAAUAGGACAAACUUGACUAGAUCUACACAUAUAUUUUUAUCACUUCUAAUAUCUCAUCGACUGUUUACAUGCCAUAUUGCAUACCAAGAAUACAAGAGUGCUGACUUUAUUUUAUUUUAUUUUAUUUUAUUUUAUUUUAUUUCUGAAAUAGUUCCCAAUUAGGCUUACAAUUAUUUUAUAUUAGUGUUACUUCCUUUGUCAAGCUUAUGAAGAAUGUAUUUCCUUGAACAGUAUUUCAUCCAUUUGGAUUUAGGUGACAUGUGUGGUGGCACGAGAAAAUGGAAGGCCCUAAGCUGAAGGAGAGCAUCAAUUGACAUGAGUGAUAAGCAAUAUCUAUUAGAAACACAUACUAUCAGGCUAAUGCAAACCACUUGGGUAUGAAGUAUACUUACCACAACUUUCUAGGUGUUGAUCAACUUGUGUUUUCUUGUUAGUAAAAGAAACAUGUUGUUUUUUUGUGGUUCAUGGAUUCAUGCUCAAUGUUGAAUUAUUAUCUGAUCUGCAGAAGCAUGUCUUACUGCUGCUCAAGGUCACAUGAUUUAUAAUUUAUAACUACAAUUAUUUAAAUCAGUAUCUUGCACGAAGUCCUGACAUCUGGCUUUAUCAAAGAUUCCACUAUGUUUAUUUCUCCAUCAUAUCGCACAAUGAAUAAUAACAGUAGAUAGAUAUCCCCUUUUUAUGCAAUGAAUUUCAUGAAAUAAAACAGCGUCCAUCACCGUCUCUGAUGUAAUCUUAAGUGCACAUGCAUGGCUUAAUGUCACUGCUAUCUCGUAGUUUCACAUGCUAUUCAAGUUUACGGCAUACAGUACUUAACAUAUAAGUUGUGUCAUAGUAUUAGUGUCAUCUUUGGCUGCUUCCUUUCUUGAAUUUUCCGAUGACAGUGUACAUGCCUUAACAUAUUCGAAGUUGUUGAUUUUUUUGUUGCAAAUAUAAUAUUUAGUAAUUUAACGUGAGCCCUUGCAGGUCCAAUUAAAGCUAUUUGACCAGAAGCUAGGUGAUAUGUGCUCAAAAGAAUCUACCCUGUUAUGCACCAGUUUUUUGCCUUAACAUUGUUUCUGCAAUUACACUAUAUAUCUUGUAUUAACUGGAUUUUUAAGAUGACGAUUAAGGAAUUCAUCUACAAUUAGGAACUUACUUCGCGACAAGGAAGGUCCAGUGGUUGGGCAACAACAUGUGGAAGGAUAAUUACUGGAUACAUUUUUUUAGCGAACAACAGCGGAGCGAUUUGAUGUCUCAAAACAUGUAAGCUGACUUGCCCUCCAUGGAAUGGAAUGACUACAAAAACUUUUGUCAUUUCAUCUAAGAAUAUUUUAAAUUAGUUAAUAAAUCAUACAGACUUGAUAUUUUCUUGGUCUCAUGCAACUAUGUGUGGUUUCUUACUUUACUCCACAAUCAUCUGUGGCAAUUAUGAGGUAUUUUUCGCCAUUCGUAUUUAUUCCUUAAUUUUACUAUGAAUAUAUGAGAGUACACACCAAGGGGUUCGCAAAAAGUACAAAAAAACUAGGAGACAAGCACGAGUCACCUUAUGAGGUGAUGAUGUAGGAGACACAAUGAGGUGAAAGAGACGUGAUGGACAUAGAAGAGUAAACCCACGAGGAUAAAGAGAUGUCAUGCACAUAGAAGGAGGAAGCGAGGACCUCGAUCCACAUUAUCAAAGACAUAGAUAAGAACAAGAGUAUCACACUUCCCACAUCGACCAACUAAUGACACAUGUUGCUAUUGGGGCAUAUCACCCUCCCUUGCAUUAUACAUAUUAAUAUUAAGAUGAAACACUUCGUUGAAUGCAUUUCUAUUAUAUUGUUCUAUGGCAACACCCGAGCAUUCUGCUAGAAAGGAUGCUCGGGUGUAGACAGAAUCAUAUAUUAUAUCAUUAUUAGUAUCAACAUGUUUCUAAAUGUUUUCAUACUCAGUAUAUGAUGUUAGAUUCAACAUGAGAUCUAAAGUUUUGUGUGAAGCCAAAUAUGCAGGUGUUAGCAAUACUGUUUGAUAGCUUGGGGGUACGAUGUGGCAAACGCGCAACGGCUGGCUAGCUGUGUUGGAGAGCAAGAGAUGUCCAGCGAGAAACAUCCCACUACAUGUUGGGGAAUGUAGUAAUUUCAAAAAAUUUCCUACGCACACGCAAGAUCAUGGUGAUGCAUAGCAACGAGAAGGGAGAGUGUUGUCUACGUACCCACGCAGACCGACUGCGGAAGCAUUGACACAACAUAGAGGAAGUAGUCGUACGUCUUCCCGAUCCGACCGAUCCAAGCACCGUUACUCCGGCACCUCCGAGUUCUUAGCACACGUACAGCUCGAUGACGAUCCCCGGGCUCCGAUCCAGCAAAGCGUCGGGGAAGAGUUCCGUCAGCACGACGGCGUGGUGAUGAUCUUGAUGUUCUACCGACGCAGGGCUUCGCCUAAGCACUACAACGAUAUGAUCGAGGUGGAAUAUGGUGGCAGGGGGCACCGCACACGGCUAAGAAAUGAUCUCAAGGAUCAACUUGUGUGUCUAGAGGUGCCCCCCUGCCCCUGUAUAUAAAGGAGCCAAGGAGGAGGGGCUGGCUGGCCAAGGAGGGUGCGCCAGGAGAGUCCUACUCCCUCUGGGAAUAGGAUUCCCCCCCAAUCCUAGUUGGAAUAGGAUUCCUUAAGGGGGGGAAAGGAGAGGGGGGGCCGGCCACCUCUUCUAGUCCUAAUAGGACUAGGGGAGGGGGGAGGCGCGCGGCCACCUUGGGCUGCCCCUUUCUUCUUUCCACUAAAGCCCAUUAAGGCCCAUAUAGCUCCCGGGGGGUUCCGGUAACCUCCCGGUACUCCGGUAAAAUCCUGAUUUCACCCGGAACACUUCCGAUAUCCAAACAUAGGCUUUCAAUAUAUCAAUCUUUAUGUCUCGACCAUUUCAAGACUCCUCGUCAUGUCCGUGAUCACAUUCGGGACUCCGAACUAACUUCGGUACAUCAAAAUGCAUAAACUCAUAAUAACUGUCAUCGUAACGUUAAGCGUGCGGACCCUACAGUUCGAGAAUAAUGUAGACAUGACUGAGACACAUCUCCAGUCAAUAACCAAUAGCGGGACCUGGAUGCCCAUAUUGGCUCCUACAUAUUCUACGAAGAUCUUUAUCGGUCAGACCGCAUAACAACAUACGUUGUUCCCUUUGUCAUCGAUAUGUUACUUGCCCGAGAUUCGAUCGUCGGUAUCCAAUACCUAGUUCAAUCUCGUUACCGGCAAGUCCCUUUACUCGUUCUGUAAUACAUCAUCCCGCAACUAACUCAUUAGUUGCAAUGCUUGCAAGGCUUAUGUGAUGUGCAUUACCGAGAGGGCCCAGAGAUACCUCUCCGACAAUCGGAGUGACAAAUCCUAAUCUCGAAAUACGCCAACCCAACAUCUACCUUUGGAGACACCUGUAGAGCUCCUUUAUAAUCACCCAUUUACGUUGUGACGUUUGGUAGCACAGAAAGUAUUCCUCCGGCAAACGGGAGUUGCAUAAUCUCAUAGUCAUAGGAACAUGUAUAAGUCAUGAAGAAAGCAAUAGCAACAUACUAAACGAUCGGGUGCUAAGCUAAUGGAAUGGGUCAUGUCAAUCAGAUCAUUCAACUAAUGAUGUGACCUCGUUAAUCAAAUAACAACUCUUUGUUCAUGGUUAGCAAACAUAACCAUCUUUGAUUAACGAGCUAGUCAAGUAGAGGCAUACUAGUGACACUCUGUUUGUCUAUGUAUUCACACAUGUAUUAUGUUUUCGGUUAAUACAAUUCUAGCAUGAAUAAUAAACAUUUAUCAUGAUAUAAGGAAAUAAAUAAUAACUUUAUUAUUGCCUCUAGGGCAUAUUUCCGUCAGUCUCCCACUUGCACUAGAGUCAAUAAUCUAGAUUACACUGUAAUGAUUCUAACACCCAUGGAGUCUUGGUGUUGAUCAUGUUUUGCUCGUGGAAGAGGCUUAGUCAACGAGUCUGCAACAUUCAGAUCUGUAUGUAUCUUGCAAAUCUCUAUGUCUCCCACCUGGACUAGAUUCCGGAUGGAAUUGAAGCGUCUCUUGAUGUGCUUGGUCCUUUUGUGAAAUCUGGAUUCCUUUGCCAAGGCAAUUGCACCAGUAUUGUCACAAAAGAUUUUCAUUGGACCCGAUGCACUAGGUAUGACACCUAGAUCGGAUAUGAACUCCUUCAUCCAGACUCCUUCGUUCGCUGCUUCCGAAGCAGCUAUGUACUCCGCUUCACAUGUAGAUCCCGCUAUGACGCUUUGUUUAGAACUGCACCAACUGACAGCUCCACCGUUUAAUGUAAACACGUAUCCGGUUUGCGAUUUAGAAUCGUCCGGAUUAGUGUCAAAGCUUGCAUCAACGUAACCUUUUACGGUGAGCUCUUUGUCACCUCCAUAUACGAUAAACAUAUCCUUAGUCCUUUUCAGGUAUUUCAGGAUGUUCUUGACCGCUGUCCAGUGAUCCACUCCUAGAUUACUUUGAUACCUUCCUCCUAGACUUAUAGCAAGGCACACAUCAGGUCUGGUACACAGCAUUGCAUACAUGAUAGAGCCUAUGGCUGAAGCAUAGGGAACAUCUUUCAUUUUCUCUCUAUCUUCUGCAGUGGUCGGGCAUUGAGUCUGACUCAACUUCACACCUUGUAACAUAGGCAAGAACCCUUUCUUUGCUUGAUCCAUUUUGAACUUCUUCAAAAUCUUGUCAAGGUAUGUGCUUUGUGAAAGUCCAAUUAAGCGUCUUGAUCUAUCUUUAUAGAUCUUUAUGCCUAAUAUGUAAGCAGCUUCACCGAGGUCUUUCAUUGAAAAACUCUUAUUCAAGUAUCCCUUUAUGCUAUCCAGAAAUUCUAUAUCAUUUCCAAUCAGUAAUAUGUCAUCCACAUAUAAUAUCAGAAAUGCUACAGAGCUCCCACCCACUUUCUUGUAAAUACAGGCUUCUCCGAAAGUCUGUAUAAAACCAAAUGCUUUGAUCACACUAUCAAAGCGUUUAUUCCAACUCCGAGAGGCUUGCACCAGUCCAUAAAUGGAUCGCUGGAGCUUGCACACUUUGUUAGCUCCUUUUGGAUUGACAAAACCUUCCAGUUGCAUCAUAUACAACUCUUCUUCCAGAAAUCCAUUCAGGAAUGCAGUUUUGACAUCCAUCUGCCAAAUUUCAUAAUCAUAAAAUGCGGCAAUUGCUAACAUGAUUCGGACAGACUUAAGCAUCGCUACGGGUGAGAAGGUCUCAUCGUAGUCAACCCCUUGAACUUGUCGAAAACCUUUUGCGACAAGUCGAGCUUUGUAGACAGUAACAUUACCAUCAGCGUCAGUCUUCUUCUUGAAGAUCCAUUUAUUCCCAAUUGCUUGCCGAUCAUCGGGCAAGUCAACCAAAGUCCAUACUUUAUUCUCAUACAUGGAUCCCAUCUCAGAUUUCAUGGCUUCAAGCCACUUUGCGGAAUCUGGGCUUACCAUCGCUUCUUCAUAGUUUGUAGGUUCAUCAUGAUCUAGCAGCAUGAUUUCCAGAACAGGAUUACCGUACCACUCUGGUGCGGAUCUCGCUCUGGUUUAUCUACGAGGUUCAGUAGUAUCUUGUCCUGAAGUUUCAUGAUCAUCAUCAUUAGCUUCCUCACUAAUUGGUAUAGGUGUCGCAGAAACAGUUUUCUGUGAUGUACUACUUUCCAAUAAGGGAGCAGGUACAGUUACCUCGUCAAGUUCUACUUUCCUCCCACUCACUUCUUUCGAGAGAAACUCUUUCUAUAGAAAGGAUCCAUUCUUAGCAACGAAUAUCUUGCCUUCGGAUCUGUGAUAGAAGGUGUACCCAACAGUCUCCUUUGGGUAUCCUAUGAAGACACAUUUCUCCAAUUUGGGUUCGAGCUUAUCAGGUUGAAGCUUUUUCACAUAAGCAUCGCAGCCCCAAACUUUAAGAAACGACAACUUUGGUUUCUUGCCAAACCACAGUUCAUAAGGCGUCGUCUCAACGGAUUUUGAUGGUGCCCUAUUUAACGUGAAUGCGGCCGUCUCUAAAGCAUAACCCCAAAACGAUAGUGGUAAAUCAGUAAGAGACAUCAUAGAUCGCACCAUAUCUAGUAAAGUACGAUUACGACGUUCGGACACACCAUUACGCUGUGGUGUUCCGGGUGGCAUGAGUUGCGAAACUAUUCCACAAUUUUUCAAAUGUACACCAAACUCGUAACUCAAAUAUUCUCCUCCACGAUCAGAUCGUAGAAACUUUAUUUUCUUGUUACGAUGAUUUUCAACUUCACUCUGAAAUUCUUUGAACUUUUCAAAUGUUUCAGACUUGUGUUUCAUCAAGUAGAUAUACCCAUAUCUGCUUAAAUCAUCUGUGAAGGUGAGAAAAUAACGAUAUCCGCCACGAGCCUCAAUAUUCAUCGGACCACAUACAUCGGUAUGUAUGAUUUCCAACAAAUCUGUUGCUCUCUCCAUAGUACCGGAGAACGGUGUUUUAGUCAUCUUGCCUAUGAGGCAUGGUUCGCAAGUACCAAGUGAUUCAUAAUCAAGUGGUUCCAAAAGUCCAUCAGUAUGGAGUUUCUUCAUGCGCUUUAUACCGAUAUGACCUAAAACGGCAGUGCCACAAAUAAGUUGCACUAUCAUUAUCAACUCUGCAUCUUUUGGCUUCAACAUUAUGAAUAUGUGUGUUACUACUAUCGAGAUUCAUCAAAAAUAGACCACUCUUCAAAGGUGCAUGACCAUAAAAGAUAUUACUCAUAUAAAUAGAACAACCAUUAUUCUUUGAUUUAAAUGAAUAACCGUCUCGCAUCAAACAAGAUCCAGAUAUAAUGUUCAUGCUCAAUGCUGGCACCAAAUAACAAUUAUUUAGGUCUAAUAUUAAUCCCGAAGGUAGAUGUAGAGGUAGCGUGCCGACCGCGAUCACAUCGACUUUGGAACCGUUUCCCACGCGCAUCGUCACCUCGUCCUUUGUCAGUGUUUGCUUAAUCCGUAGUCCCUGUUUCGAGUUGCAAAUAUUAGCAACAGAACCAGUAUCAAAUACCCAGGUGCUACUGCAAGCUCUAGUAAGGUACACAUCAAUAACAUAUAUAUCACAUAUACCUUUGUUCACCUUGCCAUCCUUCUUAUCCGCCAAAUACUUGGGGUAGUUCCGCUUCCAGUGACCAGUCUGCUUGCAGUAGAAACACUCAGUUUCAGGCUUAGGUCCAGACUUGGGUUUCUUCUCCUGAGCAGCAACUUGCUUACUGUUCUUCUUGAAGUUCCCCUUCUUCUUCCCUUUACCCUUUUUCUUGAAACUAGUGGUCUUGUUAACCAUCAACACUUGAUGCUCCUUCUUGAUUUCUACCUCCGCAGCUUUCAGCAUUGCGAAGAUCUCGGGAGUAGUCUUGUUCAUCCCUUGCAUAUUAUAGUUCAUCACAAAGCUCUUGUAGCUUGGUGGCAGUGAUUGGAGAAUUCUGUCAAUGAUGCAAUCAUCUGGAAGAUUAACUCCCAUCUGAAUCAAGUGAUUAUUAUACCCAGACAUUUUGAGUAUAUGCUCACUGACAGAACUGUUCUCCUCCAUCUUGCAGCUAUAGAACUUAUUGGAGACUUCAUAUCUCUCAAUCCGGGCAUUUGCUUGAAAUAUUAACUUCAACUCCUGGAACAUCUCAUAUGCUCCAUGACGUUCAAAACGUCGUUGAAGUCCCGAUUCUAAGCCGUAAAGCAUGGCACACUGAACUAUCGAGUAGUCAUCAGCUUUGCUCUGCCAGACGUUCAUAACAUCAGGUAUUGCUCCAGCAGCAGGCCUGGCACCCAGCGGUGCUUCCAGGACGUAAUUCUUCUGAGCAGCAAUGAGGAUAAUCCUCAAGUUACGGACCCAGUCCGUGUAAUUGCUACCAUCAUCUUUCAACUUUGCUUUCUCAAGGAAUGCAUUAAAAUUCAACGGGACAACAGCACGAGCCAUCUAUCUACAAUCAACAUAAACAAGCAAGAUACUAUCAGGUACUAAGUUCAUGAUAAGUUUAAGUUCAAUUAAUCAAAUUACUUAAGAACUCCCACUUAGAUAGACAUCCCUCUAAUCCUCUAAGUGAUCACGUGAUCCAAAUCAACUAAACCAUAACCGAUCAUCACGUGAGAUGGAGUAGUUUUCAAUGGUGAACAUCGUUAUGUUGAUCAUAUCUACUAUAUGAUUCACGUUAGACCUUUCGGUCUCCGUGUUCCGAGGCCAUAUCUGCAUAUGCUAGGCUCGUCAAGUUUAACCUUAGUAUUCUGCGUGUGCAAAAACUGGCUUGCACCCGUUGUAGAUGGACGUAGAGCUUAUCAUACCCAAUCAUCACGUGGUGUCUGGGCACGACGAACUUUGGCAACGGUGCAUACUCAGGGAGAACACUUCUUGAUAAUUUAGUGAGAGAUCAUCUUAUAAUGCUACCGUCAAUCAAAGCAAGAUAAGAUGCAUAAAAAGAUAAACAUCACAUGCAAUCAAUAUAAGUGAUAUGAUAUGGCCAUCAUCAUCUUGUGCUUGUGAUCUCCAUCUCCGAAGCAUCGUCAUGAUCACCAUCGUCACCGGCGCGACACCUUGAUCUCCAUCGUAGCAUCGUUGUCGUCUCGCCAAUCUUAUGCUUCUACGACUAUCGCUACCGUUUAGUGAUAAAGUAAAGCAUUACAUCGCGAUUGCAUUGCAUACAAUAAAGCGACAACCAUAUGGCUCCUGCCAGUUGCCGAUAACUUGGUUACAAAACAUGAUCAUCUCAUACAAUAAAAUUUAGCAUCAUGUCUUGGCCAUAUCACAUCACAACAUGCCCUGCAAAAACAAGUUAGACGUCCUCUACUUUGUUGUUGCAAGUUUUACGUGGCUGCUACGGGCUUAAGCAAGAACCAAUCUCACCUACGCAUCAAAACCACAACGAUAGUUUGUCAAAUAGACUCCGUUUUAACCUUCGCAAGGACCGGGCGUAGCCACACUCGGUUCAACUAAAGUUGGAGAGACAGUCGCCCGCAAGCCACCUAUGUGCAAAGCACGUCGGGGAAACCGGUCUCGCGUAAGCGUACGCGUAAUGUUGGUCCGGGUCGUCUCGUCCAACAAUACCGUUGAACCAAAGUAUGACAUGGCAGUAUGACUUAUAUCGCCCACAACUCACUUGUGUUCUACUCGUGCAAAUAACAUCAAACCAUAAAACCUAGGCUCGGAUGCCACUAUUGGGGAACAUAGUAAUUUCAAAAAAAUUCCUAUGCACACGCAAGAUCAUGGUGAUGCAUAGCAACGAGAAGGGAGAGUGUUGUCUACGUACCCACGCAGACCGACUGCGGAAGCAUUGACACAACAUAGAGGAAGUAGUCGUACGUCUUCCCGAUCCGACCGAUCCAAGCACCGUUACUCCGGCACCUCCGAGUUCUUAGCACACGUACAGCUCGAUGACGAUUCCCGGGCUCCGAUCCAGCAAAGCGUCGGGGAAGAGUUCCGUCAGCACGACGGCGUGGUGACGAUCUUGAUGUUCUACCGACGCAGGGCUUCGCCUAAGCACUACAACGAUAUGAUCGAGGUGGAAUAUGGUGGCAGGAGGCACCGCACACAGCUAAGGAACGAUCUCAAGGAUCAACUUGUGUAUCUAGAGGUGCCCCCCUGCCCCUGUAUAUAAAGGAGCCAAGGGGGAGGGGCUGGCUGGCCAAGGAGGGUGCGCCAGGAGAGUCCUACUCCCUCUGGGAGUAGGAUUCCCCCCCCCCCCCAAUCCUAGUUGGAAUAGGAUUCCUUAAGGGGGGGGGAAGAGAGAGAGGGGGGCCGGCCACCUCUCCUAGUCCUAAUAGGACUAGGGGAGGGGGGAGGCGCGCGGCCACCUUGGGCUGCCCCUUUCUUCUUUCCACUAAAGCCCACUAAGGCCCAUAUAGCUCCCGGGGGGUUCCGGUAACCUCCCGGUACUCCGGUAAAAUCCCGAUUUCAUCCGGAACACUUCCGAUAUCCAAACAUAGGCUUCCAAUAUAUCAAUCUUUAUGUCUCGACCAUUUUGAGACUCGUCGUCAUGUCCGUGAUCACAUCCGGGACUCCGAACUAACUUCGGUACAUCAAAAUGCAUAAACUCAUAAUAACUGUCAUCGUAACGUUAAGCGUGCGGACCCUACGGUUCAAGAAUAAUGUAGACAUGACUGAGACACAUCUCCGGUCAAUAACCAAUAGUGGGACCUGGAUGCCCAUAUUGGCUCCUACAUAUUCUACGAAGAUCUUUAUCGGUCAGACCGCAUAACAACAUGCGUUGUUCCCUUUGUCAUCGGUAUGUUACUUGCCCGAGAUUCGAUCGUCGGUAUCCAAUACCUAGUUCAAUCUCGUUACCGGCAAGUCUCUUUACUCGUUCUGUAAUACAUCAUCCCGCAACUAACUCAUUAGUUGCAAUGCUUGCAAGGCUUGUGUGAUGUGCAUUACCGAGAGGGCCCAGAGAUACCUCUCCGACAAUCGGAGUGACAAAUCCUAAUCUUGAAAUACGCCAACCCAACAUCUACCUUUGGAGACACCUGUAGAGCUUCUUUAUAAUCACCCAUUUACGUUGUGACGUUUGGUAGCACAGAAAGUAUUCCUCCGGCAAACGGGAGUUGCAUAAUCUCAUAGUCAUAGGAACAUGUAUAAUUCAUGAAGAAAGCAAUAGCAACAUACUAAACGAUCGGGUGCUAAGCUAAUGGAAUGGGUCAUGUCAAUCAGAUCAUUCAACUAAUGAUGUGACCUCGUUAAUCAAAUAACAACUCUUUGUUCAUGGUUAGCAAACAUAACCAUCUUUGAUUAACGAGCUAGUCAAGUAGAGGCAUACUAGUGACACUCUGUUUGUCUAUGUAUUCACACAUGUAUUAUGUUUCCGGUUAAUACAAUUCUAGCAUGAAUAAUAAACAUUUAUCAUGAUAUAAGGAAAUAAAUAAUAACUUUAUUAUUGCCUCUAGGGCAUAUUUCCUUCACUACAAUGGGAAACCGAGCGGGAAGGGGAGAGUCAGAUAGGAAAACCGAAGUUUUUGUCGUGGGAUGGGGGUUUUGUGUUGCGCCCUUGGGUUGGAGAUAACAAAUGGCGGAUAGUCCGGACAAUGACAUUUCUCCCCCACAUAUGAUCUGGAUUUCGGAAAGUCUGGACUGUCCAGACGGUUGAAUUUUGGGGAGCCCAUUGGGCACCGGACGUAUGAGGAAGAAAUGAGUUUCGAAUUUAAAGACGACUUUAAUCAUUUAUUUAAUUCAUUUAUGUGUGUUGUAGCCCGUAGCAACGCACGGGCAUUCUACUAGUAUAAGUUAUAACUCUGCUAUACUGCCAAUUUCUUGCAUGCUCAUAUGUAUGUUGUAUGGCAUUUAAUUUCUUUUGGUGGUCCUUUCCCUCUUUGAAUUGAAUGCCAACAUAGUAGAACAUGUACUGCAUAAGGUUCAGCAGGCUGGGUCUAACAAGGUAAAUCAUUAUUUCUCAUGCGGAAGUUUGCAGGAUUAUGCACACACAUUGUUUCGUUUCGUUGACCAUAGAACAUGAUUUGCUCUUUAUUUUCUCUCCUAUGCCUAAGGCUUUGAGCUCCUUCGAAAUCAUUACUAUAAUGAAAAGGAUGAGAAGUGAGUCCUUUAGACAUGGAACACACAUAAGUUCUUUGAAGAUCAUUUUAUUUGGGAUGUCAAUAACAGUUCUACCAAUUUGCAUCAAUUGUUUAUAUGCUAUACAAACCAUCACUUGGCCCUCUAUUGUCAUUAAUCAGAUGCACGGAAUUUGUGAAUAUAUAAAUAUUCUGGCUGAAGAUAGAACCAACUUGUGAUGGUUCCAUGUGGUACAUAUAACUGAAAUUGGUCAGAUGUUUCUAUAUUUCUUUCGUUAAGACAUCUUUUUUCCUUUGUUAAGAUGUGUCUAAGAUGGGCGGGCGCCGCAACGCGCGCCUUUAUGAUCUAGUACAGCGUGAUGGCGCUGGUGCGCAACUGUUGGUGCAGCACAUUCACCAUUAAUUAUAUUGUUUUUAACACAGUAUAAACGUAAGUGCUCAUAUAUUUAUACGCGCAUAUAUUCACCCCUUGUGAAUGCACGUACGCACACUCUAUCCCUAUGAGCACCUCUGAAAGACUGAGUUAGUAUAUUAUCUAAAUUUUACAAAGUCACCAUAGGCGCCUAUCCGGGAUAAAUGCAAGCAUCAUGACUUGAAUUCUGAUGGGCUGGGGAUAUCACUGUGCUCCUAACCAUUCAACCACAUAUUGGUUCACCGGGACUAAUCAUACCGGUGUAGCCAAGUCUUAUUUAAAAACUAUGGACCAAACUUCAUCCCAUAUAGUUGAACAACACUAGGGGUAGAAACGGAUCGGAUGCGGAUCGGAUAGUGCUCUUGCCACUUCCAUUUUCAUAUUUUCAAAACGAAUACGAAUUCGAAUACGGAUGUUAUCGGAUACGGAUGCGGCUCGGAUAUUAUUCAAAUACGGAUACGUAUCGGAUAUUUUCUUGAUUCGGAACGGAUACGAAUAAUAUCAACAUAUUGCUUAAGUAAAUCAGUCGAUAGCUAUGUGAACUGAAAUAAUCAACUUGUGACAUACAAUAAGUCAAUGAUAAAUAGGUUUAUGAAUAAAUACUAUUGUAAUGCAUAAUAAUUUAUAAGUUUAAUCAUAUAAAGAGUAAAAUUUGACCACUUAUUUGGCUUUUAUGUUGGAUAAUUGGAAUAUUGAGUCUAGAAAUUUGAAAAUUACCUCCCAUAAUCUUAUUCGGAUACGGAUAUAUCCACUUUCAUAUCCAUGUUUGUCUCAAAAUCUCCUACCAUAUUUUAUUUUUUAUUUGUUUAAUAAAUUCGGAUACGGAUAAUUUCCAUUUCCAUUUUGGUUCGGAUGCGGAUGUUUCGGAUACAAAUAGGCAUUUUCUCGAAUACGAAUAUCGGAUAUUUCGGAUUAUCCGCUAUCAAUUUCCACCCCUAAACAACACGCUGUUGCGGUCUGAUGUAGUUGCUACUCAUUUGUUUCUAAAGUAACUUGUAAUCAACUACUUCUUCCGUUUUGAAAUAGAUGACUCAACUUUAUACAAAGUUAGUAUAAAGUUGAGUCAUCUAUUUUGGAACGGAGGGAGUACUUCUGAUGAGAACAAAUCAAUAAAGUACCUUGUAAUCAAACUACUGAGAUAAUUUGUACCUUCUCUCCGUACCCAUGUAUAAUCAAGUAGCCUCUUAAUGUACUUUUCCUUUUUCUUCUUUGAAGCAAGUUUAUGAAGAAAAGAAUGAUGUAUUCUGAUCUCCAUGAAGCAACCAAUUAGCUCGUCCUCUCUAUAAAAACAAUUCUUCAUGAUACCGAAGAUUCUCAAUAUCUAGCCUAACAAAAAGAAGGUUAUCAAUAUUUGAAGAUCUUUUUUAUCCCUAAUCUCCCCGUCAGAUCACUUUGUCUCCAUUUCUGAAGGUCUUUUUUUAGCUUCGAUAUCCUCUUAUUUGGGCCUUUCAGAACCUCCAGAUCCCUCUGGUGUAGAUCUUUAUGAACAGCCUUGGUACAAUCAGGCAAGGGUGGCCUAGCUUGCUGGAUCCCAAGCCAAUUGGACUACCGCAUUGACGGUUUCUUCACACAACCAACGGGCUUCAAACUAUUUUCGGGCCUUCGAUUGUUGAGACAAAACAAAUUUUAAAAAAAUAUGAAGGAAAAUAGAUCAAUGGUCUGAAUGGACACGGUGCUCAUGAACCAACGCAUAUGGCAAUUUAUCCGCACACGCCUCAUUACUUGGUGAUGCCCUGGCUCCAGGUAAACUGAUCACCAAUAACAGUGGUCUGUUGAAGUCCACACAACCUCUGAAAUUAUGCAUCAAUUGUUGAGGUCGAACAUUACCACCCUCCUUCUCACUUGCAACCAAUCUCUCAUUAAAAUCACAGUAACUAACCAUGGACCAGCCGCAUUCCGUUGCGCGAGUAUGUCCAGGACAGGUGCUUCCUAUCCCAAGUUGGUUGUCCAUAAUAUCCUGUCAAGCGCCAUGAAGCAUCAUUUUCACCCAUAACAAUUGCAUCAAUAAAUUUUUCUAAAGAAUAGUUCAACACCACUUUAUUAGAUUGGUUAUAAAAAAGGACAAGGUUCCCCGAGCGACCAUCACUCUUUUUUUUUCAAGAAACUUCCAAUCUAUUUAUCGUCAAUCAUGGUGGUACAACAAACACCAGAAAUAAUAAAAAUUACAUCGAGAUAUGUAGACCACCUAGCGACGACUACAAGCACUGAAGCGAGCCGAAUGCGCGCAGUCGUCAUUGCCCCUCCCACACACGCAUACCUUACCACUAUGAGUACCUCCGACAAACUGAGGCGGCAUAUCAUCUUGAGAUGGACGAAGUCACCAAAGGCGUCUCGUAGUCGACGGGAACGUCUCCUCCCAUUAAACGCGCAUCGCAGAAAAUCCUGAAAUAAAUUCAGCAAUAAAUGUGAGCAAAAGGAUAUGAACUCUGGUGGACUGGGGAUACCACUGUCCACCUAACCAUUCAACCACAGAUUGGUAUUGCUAUGUACAAUUUGGGGUCAUGAUGACCGGAUAGCAGAUUGUGGAGCUUGUAUUUUUUUGUUUCUAUAAUAGCCGCAUGACCUGAAAGGUUUCUUUCCAUCCGGGGCAAUUAUCGUGUCAGUUAAUGGGGGGUGGGGGUGGAUAAACUGGUCACACGAUGCAUAGUUUUAACUUUCUACACCGUGAUAAAAUAAAAGGAAAUGAUUUUCUUCACCUGGCCUAUCCAUCGCGGGGCAUCCGCCGCCUCUAGUGUGCAGACGCGUGUCCUAUGUGGACCCUAUGCGUCGCUCUAUAUUUUUUCUUAUUCCCACCCAUGGUUGACCUUUGUUGAAGAAAAAGCUACAACAAGACCUCUGUUGCAAAAGUUUAUAUAUGCAGAAGACCUCUAUUUUUGCAAAAAAAAAAAGGAUUCUACAACAUGACCUAUGUUGCAAUGAUAGGCAAUAAAGAAAAAGAACAAAAGAUUAAACAAUUUGCAACAACUCUCUUGUUGCAGAAGGCAAAGCACAAUAAGGCUCAUGUUAGAUAGAUCGGAGGAAGAGAAAAAUGGUUUGAGGCUUUUUACGGUUAGUCCGUAGUUCGAAGCCUUUUGCAACAAAUCCUCUGUUGUAGAGAGACGGGUGCAACAACAUGCUUGUUGCAACUUCAUUUGCUCAUGUGAAGAAGAUGUAGUGACUUUCUUUGUCUUAGUCCGACGGCUAUGGAGGUGGACGAUCUUUUCCAUUGCUUAAACCGGCCAACACCUAGUGCAGCCCAUAAAAUAAUUCCCGGUGCCUUUCAAGCCUAUGCAACUCGUAUGGAACACACUUUCUACUCUCUUGAUGUAUGGAUUGUCUCAUCGUUUCUAGAGGAAAAUAAUUUGAAAUUGAGAGGCACGGAAGAGAUUGAUGUUUAUCAGUUGAGAAUUGAUGACAUGAAGGUGCCCCGCUGCCCACCGCAUUGCAUGGUUUUGUGUGGGCCCAUAAUAUUUCAGCACCUAUAAAUGAGCUCAGUUUGGGCAUCAUGACAUUUAUGUGUGUCAAACCACAUAUUUGUCGCGUCAUAGGCUCUCACCGAUUCCACGCCUCCCAACUAUAAACAUUCACGAAGAAUUAAAGCAUACAACCAGCCUACUAUAUCAAGUUGUGCUGAGAGCAGAGCAUCUCCAAUAACUGCCCUAUAAUAGGGCACCAAAAUUUGCUUGAAGUAAAAUUUGGGAUACAAAAAAGUGUUUUUAGGGCACGAGAAAGUGAGUGUCUCCAAAAGUUGCCCUAAAAUGGGGUAUUGAAUAGGGCACCAUUGCUCCAACAACUGCCAUAAAAAUAGGGCAACCGCACCACAUCUUUCUUCUCCACAUAUGGAUAGAAAUUAAACUUUGCAAGAUUUCCUUGAGUGUCUUCUCCACCAACAGCUGCUCACAAAAUUCAAUUACUGAACUUGAGUGUCUUCUCCACCAACAGCUGCUCAAAAAAUUCAACUACUAAAACCAAAUCUAACAGGAAGACCGACAAAAUCAAAGUAGAUACUAAAUUUGAGUGUCUUCUUUUAAUUUCUUUGUAUUGCACAGAACUACACACCAAAAUGGCAUGGGAUACAAUUUCAGCGAAUAACAAACGAAAUUGACAAGAAGUUCCUUUGUAACUUUCUUCAGUAAAAGGAACAGUGAAAGUCUGAACUUUCUGAAAACUAACACCUGCAUCUUGGCCUCUUACACUUUCGUCAGAAAAAGGAAAGCUGGAAACUGAACUUUACUAAUGAAUUACAUCGGGACUAGCAGCGGCGCAUUCAAGCAGCACCUCCACGACCCGUACAAACUCCAACAACCCAUUCUGCAGCACCACCACACAAACCACUAACUAGCCAUCAGGCUUUCAUUUAGCUUUGUACUCUCUCUGUAAACUAAUAUAAGAUUAUUUAGGUCACUAGAGGGAAUAUAUGAUAAAUGUGUUUGCUUUCGCAAAAAAAAAAAAUAUGAUAAAUGUGUUUGGAAGAGGGCUAACUUGCUUUAUUUGGAAUCGCCAAGGUGAAUCUAACUUCCUUUUUUCUUGGCAAAACAAAAUAACUGCACUAUCGUGCUACAAUCAGCAACAGAAUUGGUCACUACCCAUGCCAUGCAAUUCAGCUCAAUUCACUCUAUUAAAAAACUUCAAGUCAUAGCACGAGAAAUUUCCACUUUAAAGGAAUCGAAACAUCCUCACCACGCAACCCAGUAGAAAUGAAACAAUCCUACAUGCUCAACCCACAACAACGGAAGCUCCGAGCCGCACUAGCCCCGGGUCACCGCAAUUGCAUUUGAGAACUUAGCCAUGGCCUCGACAACAACAUUGAAGAAGGCGUCGGAGCCAAAGCCCUUUGUCUGGAUGUGCUAGCAAAGCUCCGCCACCACCCAUGGAGCUCGCUCAGCUUGGAUGGGUGGCCGGAGCCGAAUCUCGCAGGGAUAGAGAUCAAAUCGGACCUAGGGAAGAGGGGACGAGGUGAGGGGCGCUAGAGUUGGGGGAGGCAUCAACCGCAGUGAUGCUCGCAAGAGUAGAGGCAGGAAGGGCACGUGGGAAAACACCCGACCGACGAUUUUGCGACAGCGGCCCAAGUGUAGAGUUGGAUCAGCCGACGGUGAUUUGCAGGUGUAGAGGCAGGAAGGGUGCGUGGAAAACGCCCGACCGGCGGUUUUGCGACAGUACUUUAUGCUGUAUUUUUGGGCAGCGCUGGAAAUUUUGGAGCAAAUUUUACAUUAAGGGCAGGUAUUGGAGCAGUGUUUCUGGCCCCAAAUGCCCUAAAUACGUUAUGGGGAGAUUCUCUGAGUUGAUGGGGAGUUUAGGUGUUUACACACACUCCAAAUCACAAGUCUUACAACGGUUGUUUCAGGCCCUAAAUAAACACACAAAAUCUGUCAGGCAGAUUAACGUCUUACACCCACACAAACGGAAGCAAUUUGCUUGGCUUUACAUAUAUCCAAGGUAACAUUUCUAGAUCUGUUGGAGAAGCUCGUAUACAUUGGGUGCAUGUUGCAUGGAGAAGCUCAUACAAGUUAAAUGUGCAUGCUGAAUUUGGUAUCCAAGUCGAUCAGCUCAGGUACAAUGAGGAAUAUUACUUAGUUCCACAGUAUCUCUAACAAUGGUUGGAGAAGCUACACAUUUAAAUCUCAGACAUGCAUGUAUUUCGGAACGGAGGCAGUAGUUUUUUACAGAAUGUGACAUUUGGAACUAUAGACUGUUCUUUUCAACUACUCAGAAGGCUAACUAAAAUUUCAGAAACAUUUAUGAGAAAGAAAUAGAACAGCAUCACAUCAAAAAAAAAAGAUGGACGCAGGGCAGAAUUACAUAUAUCAAGAGUACUGCAAAAUUAAUAGCUGCAUAAAAUUCAGUCACAAACACAUAUAAUCCCACAUUACAUAAAACUCAGUCUUGGAACAAAACCAGACUAGCAUUAAACAGCUAAAUUGGACAGAACACAGGUAAGACAGCUUCCACAGCCAUAGCAGCAAACACGCCAGGAAUCACUAGACCAUGCCGUCCUCCCUCGAUGCCUGGCAGCCUGGAUGUAGGAUGAUGCUUCCCCUGCUCCAAG